GCCCUUGUAGCUCAGUAGUAGAGCAUCAGUCUAGUAAACUGAAGGUCCGGAGUUGAAUCCUGCGCGAGGGCC
RNAcentral lists this transfer RNA (72 nucleotides) under Zingiber officinale. It matches the Rfam family "tRNA". Rfam says of the family: Transfer RNA (tRNA) molecules are approximately 80 nucleotides in length. Their secondary structure includes four short double-helical elements and three loops (D, anti-codon, and T loops). Further hydrogen bonds mediate the characteristic L-shaped molecular structure. tRNAs have two regions of fundamental functional importance: the anti-codon, which is responsible for specific mRNA codon recognition, and the 3' end, to which the tRNAs corresponding amino acid is attached (by aminoacyl-tRNA synthetases). tRNAs cope with the degeneracy of the genetic code in two manners: having more than one tRNA (with a specific anti-codon) for a particular amino acid; and 'wobble' base-pairing, i.e. permitting non-standard base-pairing at the 3rd anti-codon position. The record is from Rfam by way of RNAcentral. Lineage: Eukaryota; Viridiplantae; Streptophyta; Magnoliopsida; Zingiberales; Zingiberaceae.